Molecule: transfer RNA, 57 nt
Filed under: Bos taurus (domestic cattle)
Lineage: Eukaryota; Metazoa; Chordata; Mammalia; Artiodactyla; Bovidae
Also listed under: 5 other names
Rfam family: tRNA
About the family: Transfer RNA (tRNA) molecules are approximately 80 nucleotides in length. Their secondary structure includes four short double-helical elements and three loops (D, anti-codon, and T loops).
Source: Rfam by way of RNAcentral
UAGCUCAGUUGGUAAAGAAUCUGCCUGCAAUGCAGGAGACCUGGGUUCAAUUCCUAG